Molecule: ribosomal RNA, 846 nt
Filed under: Repetophragma inflatum
Lineage: Eukaryota; Fungi; Ascomycota; Dothideomycetes
Description: eukaryotic LSU rRNA
Rfam family: Eukaryotic large subunit ribosomal RNA
Source: RNAcentral
GGAAAAGAAACCAACAGGGAUUGCCCUAGUAACGGCGAGUGAAGCGGCAACAGCUCAAAUUUGAAAUCUGGCCCUCGGGUCCGAGUUGUAAUUUGCAGAGGAUGCUUUGGGCGCGGCGCCUUCCGAGUUCCCUGGAACGGGACGCCUGAGAGGGUGAGAGCCCCGUACGGUUGGACGCCUAGCCUCUGUAAAGCUCCUUCGACGAGUCGAGUAGUUUGGGAAUGCUGCUCAAAAUGGGAGGUAAAUUUCUUCUAAAGCUAAAUACCGGCCAGAGACCGAUAGCGCACAAGUAGAGUGAUCGAAAGAUGAAAAGCACUUUGAAAAGAGGGUUAAAAAGCACGUGAAAUUGUUGAAAGGGAAGCAUUUGCGACCAGACCUUUUCCGGGGGGAUCAUCCGGCGUUCUCGCCGGUGCACUCCGCCCGGUUCAGGCCAGCAUCGGCUCCCGCGGGGGGAUAAAGGCUUCGGGAAUGUGUCUCGCUCCGGCGAGUGUUAUAGCCCGUCGCGUAAUACCCUCGCAGGGGCCGAGGCCCGCGCUCCGCAAGGAUGCUGGCGUAAUGGUCGUCAAUGACCCGUCUUGAAACACGGACCAAGGAGUCGAACAUUUGUGCGAGUGUUUGGGUGUCAAACCCUCACGCGUAAUGAAAGUGAACGGAGGUGAGAGCCCUCGGGCGCAUCAUCGACCGAUCCUGAAGUCUUCGGAUGGAUUUGAGUAAGAGCAUAACUGUUCGGACCCGAAAGAUGGUGAACUAUGCGUGGAUAGGGUGAAGCCAGAGGAAACUCUGGUGGAGGCUCGCAGCGGUUCUGACGUGCAAAUCGAUCGUCAAAUCUGCGCAUGGGGGCGAAAG